This 1689-nucleotide ribosomal RNA is filed under the name Klebsiella variicola. RNAcentral describes it as "bacterial LSU rRNA". It matches the Rfam family "Bacterial large subunit ribosomal RNA", at positions 1271 to 2925 of the family's 2925-position model. Lineage: Bacteria; Pseudomonadati; Pseudomonadota; Gammaproteobacteria; Enterobacterales; Enterobacteriaceae. The record is from RNAcentral.
UGCUGGAGGUAUCAGAAGUGCGAAUGCUGACAUAAGUAACGAUAAAGCGGGUGAAAAGCCCGCUCGCCGGAAGACCAAGGGUUCCUGUCCAACGUUAAUCGGGGCAGGGUGAGUCGACCCCUAAGGCGAGGCCGAAAGGCGUAGUCGAUGGGAAACAGGUUAAUAUUCCUGUACUUGGUGUUACUGCGAAGGGGGGACGGAGAAGGCUAUGUUAGCCGGGCGACGGUUGUCCCGGUUUAAGCAUGUAGGCGGAGGUUCCAGGUAAAUCCGGUACCUUUUAACGCUGAGGUGUGAUGACGAGGCACUACGGUGCUGAAGUAACAAAUGCCCUGCUUCCAGGAAAAGCCUCUAAGCAUCAGGUAACAUUAAAUCGUACCCCAAACCGACACAGGUGGUCAGGUAGAGAAUACCAAGGCGCUUGAGAGAACUCGGGUGAAGGAACUAGGCAAAAUGGUGCCGUAACUUCGGGAGAAGGCACGCUGGUGUGUAGGUGAAGUCCCUGCGGACGGAGCUGAGACCAGUCGAAGAUACCAGCUGGCUGCAACUGUUUAUUAAAAACACAGCACUGUGCAAACACGAAAGUGGACGUAUACGGUGUGACGCCUGCCCGGUGCCGGAAGGUUAAUUGAUGGGGUUAUCCGUAAGGAGAAGCUCUUGAUCGAAGCCCCGGUAAACGGCGGCCGUAACUAUAACGGUCCUAAGGUAGCGAAAUUCCUUGUCGGGUAAGUUCCGACCUGCACGAAUGGCGUAAUGAUGGCCAGGCUGUCUCCACCCGAGACUCAGUGAAAUUGAACUCGCUGUGAAGAUGCAGUGUACCCGCGGCAAGACGGAAAGACCCCGUGAACCUUUACUAUAGCUUGACACUGAACAUUGAGCCUUGAUGUGUAGGAUAGGUGGGAGGCUUUGAAGCGUGGACGCCAGUCUGCGUGGAGCCAACCUUGAAAUACCACCCUUUAAUGUUUGAUGUUCUAACGUAGGCCCCUGACCGGGGUUGCGGACAGUGUCUGGUGGGUAGUUUGACUGGGGCGGUCUCCUCCCAAAGAGUAACGGAGGAGCACGAAGGUUAGCUAAUCCUGGUCGGACAUCAGGAGGUUAGUGCAAUGGCAUAAGCUAGCUUGACUGCGAGCGUGACGGCGCGAGCAGGUGCGAAAGCAGGUCAUAGUGAUCCGGUGGUUCUGAAUGGAAGGGCCAUCGCUCAACGGAUAAAAGGUACUCCGGGGAUAACAGGCUGAUACCGCCCAAGAGUUCAUAUCGACGGCGGUGUUUGGCACCUCGAUGUCGGCUCAUCACAUCCUGGGGCUGAAGUAGGUCCCAAGGGUAUGGCUGUUCGCCAUUUAAAGUGGUACGCGAGCUGGGUUUAGAACGUCGUGAGACAGUUCGGUCCCUAUCUGCCGUGGGCGCUGGAGAAUUGAGGGGGGCUGCUCCUAGUACGAGAGGACCGGAGUGGACGCAUCACUGGUGUUCGGGUUGUCAUGCCAAUGGCACUGCCCGGUAGCUAAAUGCGGAAGAGAUAAGUGCUGAAAGCAUCUAAGCACGAAACUUGCCCCGAGAUGAGUUCUCCCUGAGACUUUAAGUCUCCUGAAGGAACGUUGAAGACGACGACGUUGAUAGGCCGGGUGUGUAAGCGCAGCGAUGCGUUGAGCUAACCGGUACUAAUGAACCGUGAGGCUUAACCUUACAACGCCGAAG